UACGGAGGGUGCAAGCGUUAAUCGGAAUUACUGGGCGUAAAGCGUGCGUAGGUGGCUCGUUAAGUCAGAUGUGAAAGCCCCGGGCUUAACCUGGGAACGGCAUUUGAAACUGGCGAGCUAGAGUUGAGUAGAGGGGAGUGGAAUUUCAGGUGUAGCGGUGAAAUGCGUAGAGAUCUGAAGGAACACCAGUGGCGAAGGCGGCUCCCUGGACUCAAACUGACGCUGAGGUACGAAAGCGUGGGUAGCAAACAGG
Molecule: ribosomal RNA, 253 nt
Filed under: uncultured bacterium
Lineage: Bacteria
Also listed under: 1 other name
Description: partial 16S ribosomal RNA
Rfam family: Bacterial small subunit ribosomal RNA
Source: RNAcentral